AUUGAGAGUUUGAUCCUGGCUCAGGAUGAACGCUAGCUACAGGCUUAACACAUGCAAGUCGAGGGGCAGCGAGGUUGAAGCUUGCUUCAACUGUCGGCGACCGGCGCACGGGUGAGUAACACGUAUCCAACCUGCCAUUCACUCUCGGAUAGCCUUCUGAAAGGAAGAUUAAUACGAGAUGGUAUCAUGAGUCAGCAUUUUCGCAUGAUUAAAGAAUUUCGGUGGAUGAUGGGGAUGCGUUCCAUUAGGCAGUUGGCGGGGUAACGGCCCACCAAACCUACGAUGGAUAGGGGUUCUGAGAGGAAGGUCCCCCACAUUGGAACUGAGACACGGUCCAAACUCCUACGGGAGGCAGCAGUGAGGAAUAUUGGUCAAUGGACGAGAGUCUGAACCAGCCAAGUAGCGUGAAGGAUGACUGCCCUAUGGGUUGUAAACUUCUUUUAUACGGGAAUAAAGUUCACUACGUGUAGUGUUUUGUAUGUACCGUAUGAAUAAGGAUCGGCUAACUCCGUGCCGGCAGCCGCGGUAAUACGGAGGAUCCGAGCGUUAUCCGGAUUUAUUGGGUUUAAAGGGAGCGUAGAUGGGUGUUUAAGUCAGUUGUGAAAGUUUGCGGCUCAACCGUAAAAUUGCAGUUGAUACUGGACGCCUUGAGUGCAGUUGAGGUAGGCGGAAUUCGUGGUGUAGCGGUGAAAUGCUUAGAUAUCACGAAGAACUCCGAUUGCGAAGGCAGCCUACUAAGCUGUAACUGACAUUGAGGCUCGAAAGUGUGGGUAUCAAACAGGAUUAGAUACCCUGGUAGUCCACACGGUAAACGAUGAAUACUCGCUGUUGGCGAUAUACAGUCAGCGGCCAAGCGAAAGCAUUAAGUAUUCCACCUGGGGAGUACGCCGGCAACGGUGAAACUCAAAGGAAUUGACGGGGGCCCGCACAAGCGGAGGAACAUGUGGUUUAAUUCGAUGAUACGCGAGGAACCUUACCCGGGCUUAAAUUGCACUGGGACAGUUCUGGGAAACAGAACCUUCUUCGGACCAGUGUGAAGGUGCUGCAUGGUUGUCGUCAGCUCGUGCCGUGAGGUGUCGGCUUAAGUGCCAUAACGAGCGCAACCCUUAUCUUUCAGUUACUAACAGGUCAUGCUGAGGACUCUGGAGAGACUGCCGUCGUAAGAUGUGAGGAAGGUGGGGAUGACGUCAAAUCAGCACGGCCCUUACGUCCGGGGCUACACACGUGUUACAAUGGGGGGUACAGAAGGCAGCUACCUGGCGACAGGAUGCUAAUCCCGAAAGCCUCUCUCAGUUCGGACUGGAGUCUGCAACCCGACUCCACGAAGCUGGAUUCGCUAGUAAUCGCGCAUCAGCCAUGGCGCGGUGAAUACGUUCCCGGGCCUUGUACACACCGCCCGUCAAGCCAUGAAAGCCGGGGGUACCUGAAGUGCGUAACCGCAAGGAGCGUCCUAGGGUAAAACUGGUAAUUGGGGCUAAGUCGUAACAAGGUAGCCGUAAUC
This 1501-nucleotide ribosomal RNA is filed under the name uncultured bacterium. RNAcentral's name for it is "bacterial SSU rRNA". It matches the Rfam family "Bacterial small subunit ribosomal RNA". The record is from RNAcentral.